GCUCCCGUGGCGGAACUGGUAUACGCGUACGCUUUAGGAGCGUAUGCCGCAAGGCUUGGAGGUUCAAGUCCUCCCGGGAGCA
RNAcentral lists this transfer RNA (82 nucleotides) under Candidatus Gottesmanbacteria bacterium. RNAcentral's name for it is "tRNA-Leu". It matches the Rfam family "tRNA". Rfam says of the family: Transfer RNA (tRNA) molecules are approximately 80 nucleotides in length. Their secondary structure includes four short double-helical elements and three loops (D, anti-codon, and T loops). Lineage: Bacteria; Candidatus Gottesmaniibacteriota. The record is from RNAcentral.